This 254-nucleotide ribosomal RNA is filed under the name uncultured bacterium. Its description in RNAcentral is "partial 16S ribosomal RNA". It matches the Rfam family "Bacterial small subunit ribosomal RNA", at positions 524 to 776 of the family's 1533-position model. The record is from RNAcentral.
UACGUAGGGUGCGAGCGUUAAUCGGAAUUACUGGGCGUAAAGCGUGCGCAGGCGGUUUUGUAAGCCAGAUGUGAAAUCCCCCGGGCUUAACCUGGGAAUGGCAUUUGGGACUGCAAGGCUUGAGUGCGGCAGAGGAGACUGGAAUUCCUGGUGUAGCAGUGAAAUGCGUAGAUAUCAGGAGGAACACCGAUGGCGAAGGCAGGUCUCUGGGCUGACACUGACGCUCAUGCACGAAAGCGUGGGGAGCGAAACAA